GUUUCUUAGAAAAUGGCAGGUAGCUAUCCAUCAUGUCACAGCAGAAUGGGUAAUGUGUUCUUUAAAUCCAACUGUUGACUCGGGUUUAAGGAAGCGUGAAACCUGAAUUCAUUGAAAUAAGACCAAAUUAUUGAAAUGAAUGUUUCCUCUCUGUACAUAUGAGAAAGAAUAGUUAAGACAGUAUGUUUCAAAUACAUUGUAUAAUCUAUACUCAAUGCAGAUGUGGAAAGGGUACUGUCAGAGCCUCCCAGAGGCACACUGCCCUCAGUGAGGCUUUACUGGAUUCUAUCUGCCCACUUGCUGGGCUGUGCCUGGAGGGAUAGAGAUGAAUUGGUGCUGAUUUGCUUAUGCCAUGAGCACAGAUUACCCCAUUUAAAAAACAAACUAACACAGAUUUUCUUUAAUUCUUUUUUAGGUAUAAGAUAACCUUUAAGAUAAAAUAUGUCAUCCCUCUGACAUCCCUCUGGAUUGGGGACUGUGUGGACACAGACUUUGUAGGCCCCAGUCAGGCCAGGAAAUCCAUUUUCCUAGGCUGGCCCAUGGAGAACUUCAUCGCCACUUUCCGGUCUGUGGACCAAAAAAGAGAUUGGUGGUGUUUCCUUGAAAGAUCUAUUAAACAGACAAAGGAGAAGUACCAUGGGAGGAGUACUGCACUGGAGAUAUUCACAGAUGACAUCCCGAGCUCGAACAC
Mesocricetus auratus (golden hamster) is the source of this 691-nucleotide long non-coding RNA. RefSeq lists it as uncharacterized. The transcript is spliced from 3 exons. Lineage: Eukaryota; Metazoa; Chordata; Mammalia; Rodentia; Cricetidae. The record is from RefSeq and is a predicted model, not a curated record.